UACGGGGGGGGCGAGCGUUGUUCGGAAUUACUGGGCGUAAAGGGCUCGUAGGCGGCCAACUAAGUCGGAUGUGAAAUCCCCAGGCUUAACCUGGGAACUGCAUCCGAUACUGGAUGGCUUGAAUCCGGGAGAGGGAUGCAGAAUUCCAGGUGUAGCGGUGAAAUGCGUAGAUAUCUGGAGGAAUACCGGUGGCGAAGGCGGCAUCCUGGACCGGCAUUGACGCUGAUGAGCGAAAGCUAGGGGAGCAAACGGG
Molecule: ribosomal RNA, 253 nt
Filed under: uncultured bacterium
Lineage: Bacteria
Description: partial 16S ribosomal RNA
Rfam family: Bacterial small subunit ribosomal RNA
Source: RNAcentral